This 599-nucleotide ribosomal RNA is filed under the name uncultured bacterium. RNAcentral describes it as "bacterial SSU rRNA". It matches the Rfam family "Bacterial small subunit ribosomal RNA", at positions 9 to 606 of the family's 1533-position model. The record is from RNAcentral.
GAGUUUGAUCAUGGCUCAGAUUGAACGCUGGCGGCAUGCCUAACACAUGCAAGUCGAACGGUAGCAGGCCUUCGGGUGCUGACGAGUGGCGGACGGGUGAGUAAUGCGUAGGAAUCUGUCUUUUAGUGGGGGACAACCCAGGGAAACUUGGGCUAAUACCGCAUGAGCCCUGAGGGGGAAAGCGGGGGAUCUUCGGACCUCGCGCUAAGGGAAGAGCCUACGUCUGAUUAGCUAGUUGGUAGGGUAAAGGCCUACCAAGGCGACGAUCAGUAGCUGGUCUGAGAGGACGACCAGCCACACUGGGACUGAGACACGGCCCAGACUCCUACGGGAGGCAGCAGUGGGGAAUUUUUCGCAAUGGGGGCAACCCUGACGAAGCAAUGCCGCGUGGAUGAAGAAGGCCUUCGGGUUGUAAAGUCCUUUCGUGGGGGACGAAAAGGUGGUUCCUAAUACGAGCUGCUGUUGACGUGAACCCAAGAAGAAGCACCGGCUAACUCCGUGCCAGCAGCCGCGGUAAUACGGGGGGUGCAAGCGUUAAUCGGAAUCACUGGGCGUAAAGGGUGCGUAGCGGUACGUUAGGUCUGUCGUGAAAUCCCCGG